Molecule: unclassified non-coding RNA, 741 nt
Filed under: Fusarium verticillioides
Lineage: Eukaryota; Fungi; Ascomycota; Sordariomycetes; Hypocreales; Nectriaceae
Description: partial contains 28S ribosomal RNA, 28S-18S ribosomal RNA intergenic spacer, and 18S ribosomal RNA
Source: RNAcentral
GCUGCCUACCCGGUAGUCAGCUCCAAUCGCCUCUCACGGCCGCCACGGACCUCGCACGAAGACGGGACCACCUCCAUCGCAUUCGCCGUGGUCGAGAUAGUCGGUAUACGCACUUUUGAAAAAAUGCGUGCAAAAUGGUUUUGUGGUUUGGUGGCCAUGAGUCGAUUUUUUUGUUUUGCCAUACAAAUGAAUUUUGCGGAAAAUAAAAAGUGGCCCACGAGACGGUUCUGGCGUGCGGUCCACUAAAACGGUCUCGGAGGGUAUAUGAGAAGGGAGCAAAUCCGGCCGAGCCUGAAAGGGCGAGGGAAAACCGGACGAGCAACCUCUCGUACCUGAUCUUGCAGACUUCCACUGCGUGUCCCUCUGUACAGCUUUGCAGGCUCCGGCCUCGGCAGCGGGGGGUUCAUAGUGGUCGUCGACCUCCACGAAACUGCACGCUCCGGCGUGACAGCGUACUGGGGAUGCCUGUGUUUACGCAGUCCGGGCUUGCCUGGACCGCCAGCAGAUGGGCUCUGUGGAUGACUGGCCGCUGGCUAGACCUGAAACCUGAGCAACGGGAGGUAACCUCUCGCCGCGGACACCGGAAUGGUAGAAGCGGCGUGCUGCGUCCUCCUCUUGGGGCCCCUAAGCCACACCUCCCACAGCGGGUUCGGUGCGGCGGACGGACGCCCUGGGGAAUUUAGAGGGGGAAAGCGGAUUGCCCUAGCGGUGUUGUUGGCCCUGCCGACCUCACUGCGAAAG